Molecule: unclassified non-coding RNA, 319 nt
Filed under: Hevea brasiliensis (rubber tree)
Lineage: Eukaryota; Viridiplantae; Streptophyta; Magnoliopsida; Malpighiales; Euphorbiaceae
Source: RNAcentral
GGUAAGUGGGUAGCGAAUGGGGAUGAGGAUAAUUAAAAUAGCCUGUUACCAGAGCUCUCAUGUUUAUACUGCCACAAUAUGUACAAGUUCAUCCACUAGGCUGCAUAUGGUCGUGUUACUUAAUCUGCUUGCUUGGGUUAGUUUUAGUUUUCAUAUGGUCAACACAGCAAUUUUAAUCCAUUUGACGGAAGGGCAAGGUUGCAACUUCUUGACAACUAUGAACCCUAUAAAGUAUGCGGACCGUUGGAAUUCCACACAUGUUACAUUUGGAACUUCAAACGUUAUGAAAUUCAUUUGAAAUGCCUUGUGCAAACACUUG